GAACGGUGUCUUCGGACACAGUGGCGGACGGGUGAGUAACGCGUGAGAAUCUAGCUUUAGGUCUGGGACAACCACUGGAAACGGUGGCUAAUACCGGAUGUGCCGCAAGGUGAAAGGUUAACUGCCUGAAGAUGAGCUCGCGUCUGAUUAGCUAGUUGGUGUGGUAAGAGCGCACCAAGGCGACGAUCAGUAGCUGGUCUGAGAGGACGAUCAGCCACACUGGGACUGAGACACGGCCCAGACUCCUACGGGAGGCAGCAGUGGGGAAUUUUCCGCAAUGGGCGAAAGCCUGACGGAGCAAUACCGCGUGAGGGAGGAAGGCUCUUGGGUCGUAAACCUCUUUUCUCAGGGAAGAACACAAUGACGGUACCUGAGGAAUAAGCAUCGGCUAACUCCGUGCCAGCAGCCGCGGUAAUACGGAGGAUGCAAGCGUUAUCCGGAAUGAUUGGGCGUAAAGCGUCCGCAGGUGGCUAUGUAAGUCUGCUGUUAAAGAGUCUAGCUCAACUAGAUAAGAGCAGUGGAAACUACAAGGCUAGAGUGCGUUCGGGGCAGAGGGAAUUCCUGGUGUAGCGGUGAAAUGCGUAGAGAUCAGGAAGAACACCGGUGGCGAAGGCGCUCUGCUAGGCCGCAACUGACACUGAGGGACGAAAGCUAGGGGAGCGAAUGGGAUUAGAUACCCCAGUAGUCCUAGCCGUAAACGAUGGAUACUAGGCGUGGCUUGUAUCGACCCGAGCCGUGCCGUAGCUAACGCGUUAAGUAUCCCGCCUGGGGAGUACGCCGGCAACGGUGAAACUCAAAGGAAUUGACGGGGGCCCGCACAA
This 821-nucleotide ribosomal RNA is filed under the name Nostoc sp. 'Nephroma parile cyanobiont' 23_Nash_III_30009A. RNAcentral describes it as "bacterial SSU rRNA". It matches the Rfam family "Bacterial small subunit ribosomal RNA", at positions 64 to 928 of the family's 1533-position model. Lineage: Bacteria; Bacillati; Cyanobacteriota; Cyanophyceae; Nostocales; Nostocaceae. The record is from RNAcentral.